RNAcentral lists this ribosomal RNA (1379 nucleotides) under Escherichia coli. Its description in RNAcentral is "partial 23S ribosomal RNA". It matches the Rfam family "Bacterial large subunit ribosomal RNA", at positions 1572 to 2925 of the family's 2925-position model. The record is from RNAcentral. Lineage: Bacteria; Pseudomonadati; Pseudomonadota; Gammaproteobacteria; Enterobacterales; Enterobacteriaceae.
AGGCACUACGGUGCUGAAGCGACAAAUGCCCUGCUUCCAGGAAAAGCCUCUAAGCAUCAGGUAACAUCAAAUCGUACCCCAAACCGACACAGGUGGUCAGGUAGAGAAUACCAAGGCGCUUGAGAGAACUCGGGUGAAGGAACUAGGCAAAAUGGUGCCGUAACUUCGGGAGAAGGCACGCUGAUAUGUAGGUGAAGCGACUUGCUCGUGGAGCUGAAAUCAGUCGAAGAUACCAGCUGGCUGCAACUGUUUAUUAAAAACACAGCACUGUGCAAACACGAAAGUGGACGUAUACGGUGUGACGCCUGCCCGGUGCCGGAAGGUUAAUUGAUGGGGUUAGCGGCAACGCGAAGCUCUUGAUCGAAGCCCCGGUAAACGGCGGCCGUAACUAUAACGGUCCUAAGGUAGCGAAAUUCCUUGUCGGGUAAGUUCCGACCUGCACGAAUGGCGUAAUGAUGGCCAGGCUGUCUCCACCCGAGACUCAGUGAAAUUGAACUCGCUGUGAAGAUGCAGUGUACCCGCGGCAAGACGGAAAGACCCCGUGAACCUUUACUAUAGCUUGACACUGAACAUUGAGCCUUGAUGUGUAGGAUAGGUGGGAGGCUUUGAAGUGUGGACGCCAGUCUGCAUGGAGCCGACCUUGAAAUACCACCCUUUAAUGUUUGAUGUUCUAACGUUGGCCCGUAAUCCGGGUUGCGGACAGUGUCUGGUGGGUAGUUUGACUGGGGCGGUCUCCUCCUAAAGAGUAACGGAGGAGCACGAAGGUUGGCUAAUCCUGGUCGGACAUCAGGAGGUUAGUGCAAUGGCAUAAGCCAGCUUGACUGCGAGCGUGACGGCGCGAGCAGGUGCGAAAGCAGGUCAUAGUGAUCCGGUGGUUCUGAAUGGAAGGGCCAUCGCUCAACGGAUAAAAGGUACUCCGGGGAUAACAGGCUGAUACCGCCCAAGAGUUCAUAUCGACGGCGGUGUUUGGCACCUCGAUGUCGGCUCAUCACAUCCUGGGGCUGAAGUAGGUCCCAAGGGUAUGGCUGUUCGCCAUUUAAAGUGGUACGCGAGCUGGGUUUAGAACGUCGUGAGACAGUUCGGUCCCUAUCUGCCGUGGGCGCUGGAGAACUGAGGGGGGCUGCUCCUAGUACGAGAGGACCGGAGUGGACGCAUCACUGGUGUUCGGGUUGUCAUGCCAAUGGCACUGCCCGGUAGCUAAAUGCGGAAGAGAUAAGUGCUGAAAGCAUCUAAGCACGAAACUUGCCCCGAGAUGAGUUCUCCCUGAGACUUAGAGUCUCCUGAAGGAACGUUGAAGACGACGACGUUGAUAGGCCGGGUGUGUAAGCGCAGCGAUGCGUUGAGCUAACCGGUACUAAUGAACCGUGAGGCUUAACCUU